GACGAACGCUGGCGGCGUGCCUAAUACAUGCAAGUAGAACGCUGAAGAGAGGAGCUUGCUCUUCUUGGAUGAGUUGCGAACGGGUGAGUAACGCGUAGGUAACCUGCCUGGUAGCGGGGGAUAACUAUUGGAAACGAUAGCUAAUACCGCAUAAAUUGAUUAUUGCAUGAUAAUUAAUUGAAAGAUGCAAUUGCAUCACUACCAGAUGGACCUGCGUUGUAUUAGCUAGUUGGUGAGGUAACGGCUCACCAAGGCGACGAUACAUAGCCGACCUGAGAGGGUGAUCGGCCACACUGGGACUGAGACACGGCCCAGACUCCUACGGGAGGCAGCAGUAGGGAAUCUUCGGCAAUGGGGGGAACCCUGACCGAGCAACGCCGCGUGAGUGAAGAAGGUUUUCGGAUCGUAAAGCUCUGUUGUAAGAGAAGAACGGGUGUGAGAGNGGAAAGUUCACACNGNGACGGU
Molecule: ribosomal RNA, 465 nt
Filed under: uncultured bacterium
Lineage: Bacteria
Description: bacterial SSU rRNA
Rfam family: Bacterial small subunit ribosomal RNA
Source: RNAcentral